Molecule: ribosomal RNA, 489 nt
Filed under: uncultured bacterium
Lineage: Bacteria
Description: partial 16S ribosomal RNA
Rfam family: Bacterial small subunit ribosomal RNA
Source: RNAcentral
AUUGAACGCUGGCGGCAGGCCUAACACAUGCAAGUCGAACGGUAACAGGGAUCAGCUUGCUGAUUCGCUGACGAGUGGCGGACGGGUGAGUAAUGUCUGGAAACUGCCUGAUGGAGGGGGAUAACUACUGGAAACGGUAGCUAAUACCGCAUAACGUCGCAAGACCAAAGAGGGGGACCUUCGGGCCUCUUGCCAUCGGAUGUGCCCAGAUGGGAUUAGCUAGUAGGUGGGGUAACGGCUCACCUAGGCGACGAUCCCUAGCUGGUCUGAGAGGAUGACCAGCCACACUGGAACUGAGACACGGUCCAGACUCCUACGGGAGGCAGCAGUGGGGAAUAUUGCACAAUGGGCGCAAGCCUGAUGCAGCCGUGCCGCGUGUAUGAAGAAGGCCUUCGGGUUGUAAAGUACUUUCAGCGGGGAGGAAGGGAGUAAAGUUAAUACCUUUGCUCAUUGACGUUACCCGCAGAAGAAGCACCGGCUAACUCCGUG